This 504-nucleotide ribosomal RNA is filed under the name uncultured bacterium. Its description in RNAcentral is "bacterial SSU rRNA". It matches the Rfam family "Bacterial small subunit ribosomal RNA", at positions 15 to 507 of the family's 1533-position model. The record is from RNAcentral.
GAUCAUGGCUCAGGAUGAACGCUAGCUACAGGCUUAACACAUGCAAGUCGAGGGGAACGAUAUUGGAAGCUUGCUUCCGAUAGGCGUCGACCGGCGCACGGGUGAGUAACGCGUAUCCAACCUGCCCAUCACUUGGGGAUAACCUUGCGAAAGUAAGACUAAUACCCAAUGAUAUCUCUAGACGACAUCUGAAAGGGAUUAAAGAUUUAUCGGUGAUGGAUGGGGAUGCGUCUGAUUAGCUUGUUGGCGGGGUAACGGCCCACCAAGGCGACGAUCAGUAGGGGUUCUGAGAGGAAGGUCCCCCACAUUGGAACUGAGACACGGUCCAAACUCCUACGGGAGGCAGCAGUGAGGAAUAUUGGUCAAUGGGCGAGAGCCUGAACCAGCCAAGUAGCGUGCAGGACGACGGCCCUAUGGGUUGUAAACUGCUUUUAUAAGGGAAUAAAGUGAGUCUCGUGAGACUUUUUGCAUGUACCUUAUGAAUAAGGACCGGCUAAUUCCGUG